This 463-nucleotide ribosomal RNA is filed under the name Vreelandella stevensii. Its description in RNAcentral is "partial 16S ribosomal RNA". It matches the Rfam family "Bacterial small subunit ribosomal RNA", at positions 338 to 794 of the family's 1533-position model. Lineage: Bacteria; Pseudomonadati; Pseudomonadota; Gammaproteobacteria; Oceanospirillales; Halomonadaceae. The record is from RNAcentral.
CCUACGGGGGGCUGCAGUGGGGAAUAUUGGACAAUGGGCGAAAGCCUGAUCCAGCCAUGCCGCGUGUGUGAAGAAGGCCUUCGGGUUGUAAAGCACUUUCAGUGGGGAAGAAAGCCUUGGGGCUAAUACCCUCGAGGAAGGACAUCACCCACAGAAGAAGCACCGGCUAACUCCGUGCCAGCAGCCGCGGUAAUACGGAGGGUGCGAGCGUUAAUCGGAAUUACUGGGCGUAAAGCGCGCGUAGGCGGUCUGAUAAGCCGGUUGUGAAAGCCCCGGGCUCAACCUGGGAACGGCAUCCGGAACUGUCAGGCUAGAGUGCAAGAGAGGAAGGUAGAAUUCCCGGUGUAGCGGUAAAAUGCGUAGAGAUCGGGAGGAAUACCAGUGGCGAAGGCGGCCUUCUGGACUGACACUGACGCUGAGGUGCGAAAGCGUGGGUAGCAAACAGGAUUAGAUACCCAGUAUC